RNA transcript from Bactrocera dorsalis (oriental fruit fly), 1861 nucleotides. It is a transcript of the gene named KAT8 regulatory NSL complex subunit 2, with no coding region annotated. The record is from RefSeq and is a predicted model, not a curated record. The transcript is spliced from 6 exons. NCBI's taxonomy places the organism in Eukaryota, Metazoa, Arthropoda, Insecta, Diptera, Tephritidae.
UUGCUUUGAUGCUCUUCUCUAUGUGCAUAACAAAUUUCGUGCUUACAAUUUUCAUAGCGGCGUGGAUUUUUGUAUAAAACAAUUCUACCAAAUAAUGUGUGAAUGCUAUACGUGAACAUAAAUUAAACAAAAAUACUUUGUGAUAAAAAAAAAUUGGAAGUUAUCUUUCAAAAUGUCUGCUGGUUGUUCUCAUUCACGCCAAAGACAAUUUUUACGCUACGGCGGCAGCAUACAAGAAUUGCGUGAGCAAUUACAUCAGGAAAUCGAAAACAAAGUAAAACGUUGUUCAAACACCACCUACGAAUGUUCAAUACCACGUGUCGAUGGCUAUGAAUAUUGUAUGCGCCACAUUCUACAGGAUCCCUGUGGAAACUUUCGUCAAUGCACUUUUAUUUAUGCCAACGGACGUAAAUGUGCCAAUGCACUACAAAAGCAUGACAUAAAAAAAGAUCCUGCACUGACAACGCUCUGUUUUGAACAUAAUCGUCAAGCGCAGUUACAAAAAACGCACGCAACAGUUGGAAAAUUGAAGCGCACCGAUACCAAUGAAGUAUUGUUAAACAACUUAGCACAUCACAUCAAUGUUGAAGAUGUGCAGCCAGAAGAGCCAAUUGCAGAGCAAGAUGAAGAAAUUGAUGUGGUGUCACCGCAUGUGGCACCAUUUGUUGCGUACGAUCAGGUAAAUAGCCUUAAUAAUGCCUUAUCAAGCAUGCAAAAAAGACGACGCAUACUGGAUUAUGCAUCUGAUAGCAACAGCGAGGAUAACGAACAGCCCAGCUUAAACAACACUGCGCGUGGUUAUGAAUUUAACGAGUCCGACGAUGAUAGUGCAGACUCCGCACCUGAAGAUUUAUUAAAACAUGCUGGCAUUUACACACGUGAAGAAGCGGUGCGUAUUGCUGAAGCGAAACUCACAAAGCUGCAAGGUUUAUAUAUUGAUCAAAUCAAUAGUUUGCAUCACACACUCAAGGAACGCCGGCGUCGAUAUCUACAAGCUUUACGCAAGGAACGUGAAAUGUUAUGCAGCAUACAUGAUCAAUUGAAGGACUCGCCGCGCGAACGUAAACUCUACGAUCAACUGAAGGCACUUAACACAUAUCAUCGGCGUUAUGGCGUUGAAGCAGUGCUGUAUAAGAAAUUCAAAGAAAAGCGUUCGCGUGCUUCAGAUGGCUAUGCACAUAAAGGUCCGGGUUUUACUAAAUGUGCCUUCUCUGAGGGUGGUGUUAAGUGCGGUGAACGCGCAAUGCCAUGCUGUAAAUACUGCCGCAAACAUAUUAUGGAAGACAAAAAACAAAUACUUUUCCGCGCCUGCGAGGUGGAGAAGAGCGGUGUUGUGUGCCAGGAACCAAUACCGUGCAUCUUUGACGAUGCAUCGACUUGUAUCUUGCAUUUGUCUAUGCCCGCCCGACGUCAAUUUAUACAAAAGGAUUACCCUAAAUAUGCUCCCGUAUCGUGAAGGAGCGCAAUACAGGGAAAGGGUAAUUUAAGACUGUGACGUUGUGAAAGCAAAAUAAACUAAAGCUUAAUUAUAAUAUAUACACAAUUAAAUGAAAUGACCACUUAAAAUGUUAAUUAGCAUUGCUUUUACUGUGGCCAAUAUGUAUGUAUGUGUAAUGUGCGAAAAGCGUUUCAAAUUUAGGUACUAAUUGUAACCAACAAAAGAAUACGAAAAAAACUUAAACAAUAACAAAAGAUUGCACAACCAAUUAAUGGAACUUAAUCAAAUAUGAAUCCGAAACUGAAGAGGACGAUGCAAAGGAAGAAGCCAAUUUCAAAUCGCCCAGUCAAACGAAUGUCAAAGCUGAAAGGGCAAUAACAGAAUCACCUACACGAAAAACGGUACCCUCGCCGUAAAGCGAAC